GACGAACGCUGGCGGCGUGCUUAACACAUGCAAGUCGAACGAGAGGACAAGAGAAGCUUGCUUCUUUUGGAAUCGAGUGGCAAACGGGUGAGUAACACGUAAACAACCUGCCUUCAGGAUGGGGACAACAGACGGAAACGACUGCUAAUACCGAAUACGCUUGGGAGACCGCAUGAUCUUCCAAGGAAAGGGUGGCCUCUACUUGUAAGCUAUCGCCUGAAGAGGGGUUUNCGUCUGAUUAGGCAGUUGGUGAGGUAACGGCCCACCAAACCUACGAUCAGUAGCCGGUCUGAGAGGAUGAACGGCCACACUGGAACUGAGACACGGUCCAGACUCCUACGGGAGGCAGCAGUGGGGAAUCUUCCGCAAUGGGCGAAAGCCUGACGGAGCAACGCCGCGUGAGUGAU
RNAcentral lists this ribosomal RNA (407 nucleotides) under uncultured bacterium. RNAcentral describes it as "bacterial SSU rRNA". It matches the Rfam family "Bacterial small subunit ribosomal RNA", at positions 28 to 409 of the family's 1533-position model. The record is from RNAcentral.